AAAAAAAAAAAGAAGAAGAAGAAGAAGGAGCGAGGAGAGAGACGCGGAGCUGGGCGACUCGGAACCAGCUUAAUUUCCUCGCGACCGCCGAAUUGUCUCGAUUGUCGUCCCCGUCAGACCAGCCAACUGGCGGCCGGCCGCGUGCGAGGGAGCCUUUAUGACGACACCCAGAAGGAGGAGCGAGGCGGGGCGAGCGGACAUCCCGAACCGACACCGGGCCGGGAUGGGAUGGGAUGGGGACGCUCCGAGCACGCCGAGCAAGCCGGACCUGAGGGCCUCUGCAGUGAAUGAUGUGCUCCCCAUUUUAAGACCAAACAAAUGAAAAUACUCUAUCAGACAAACAGAAAAAUAACACAAAAGGCAUUUUCAGGGGGAAAAAAAAACCAUCUAUUGAAAUAUUUAUUCAUGACCAAAAAAAUCUAUUCGGUAACCUAAAACAAACCCUCCCUUUGUUAAAUCAUGAAUUAAAUAUGGAUAGGCAGCACAGUGGGAAAGCGUUGACCUCACAGUUCUGAGGUCUCGGGUUCGAUCCCGGCCCCGCCUGUGUGGAGUUUGCGUGCUCUCCCCGUGCCUGCGUGGCUUUUCUCCGGGUGGGCACUCCGGUUUUCCUCCCACAUUCCAAAAAUGCAACAUUAAUUGGACAUCCUAAAUUGCCCCUAGGUGUGAUCGUGAGUGCGGGUGUUUGUCUCGAUGUGCCCUGCGAUUGGCCGGCGACCAGUUCAGGGUUUACCCCGCCUCCUGCCCGUUGACAGCUGGAAUAAGCUCCAGCACUCCCUGCGACUUGUGAGGAUAUGCGGCAAAGAAAAUGGAUGGAUGGAUACAUAAUUAUGGAUAACUAUGUUUAUCAACUACAAAAUCAAGUUAGCCAAAAGCUUCAACGAGCCCUAGAAAGUCAAGAACAGAUGAGAAAUAAAGUCUUGAACAUUAACGAAAAGCAAUUUCUAAAGCUUGAGGGCUCCACUGAACUAUGGAGAAAAUAUGGAGCAGCCUACAAAAAUCGCCCGAAAAUCUUUUUGGGCCAUCAGUUGGUAACCUCAAGCUGAGGGUUCUUCACCGGGACAACGACCCAAAACACAAUUUAAGUUAACUUCAUGUUUUGUUUUGUUUUUUUAAGGGAUGGUUUUGACAUGGCCUAGUCAAAGUCUGGACUUGAAAUGUUGUGUCGUGUCUUGAGUUUGUCCAAGGAAGAGUGAAGCAAACACACAUGGGGAAAAUUCUCCUUGCCGGUGCCACGACAACAAAAUGCUGGUCCAGGGUGGCCAAACCAGUUCUGAAAAGUUUCAGAAGUUUGGGAAACACAUCAGCACUAAAAAAAAAAAUGUCGUCACUUUCAAUCUGAGUAGAAAUGGUGACUGUUUCUCUCUUUAGGAUAUUUAGUAGGUACAUACCAAACCGAUUAUGUAUUUUUUUUCAUGUUCACAUUUACAAAUUGAUAUACUUCUGUUUUUGUGUUGAUAAAUAUUCCAGUGUUAAGAUGGUUUAUUUUGAAGUUAUUUCAUGCAAAUCUUUUUGACAUAACUGAUUGGGUUAUCAAUAAAUGCAUUUAAUAAAAAGAAUGAUAACAUACACUUGCUCAUUUUAACAAAAAAUAAUUUAUCAAAUUUAAUUAUAAUAAAUGAACUUGUCACACUAGGGUUUAGCAUUUAAAAUGAAUAUAUCCCAAUUCCUGUACUGUACACAUGCAUUGUUAUAUGGAUUCAAUAGCGACCACUCCAAAAUGCAUUUUUAAAAUUAUUUUUUUUAUAUCAGAGCCAAAUUCAAGCUUUACAACAAUUAGUAGCAGUGUCAAUUUAUUAUUUAUUGAAACUUCCACACAGAAUGUAUAAUUGAGUUUGUACGUAGAAAAAGCAAUCUGAAUAAUUUUUUUAACAAAUUUUUAUUUCAAAGAACCAAAAUUCAAAGUCGCUCCAGAUUUAACAUUUACAUUAGCAAAGAGAUUAACAAACACAUGGAAACGUCCUCACACAUUAGCUGAUAUUUCGAGUUAUUUUUGAGAGAAUCAAGUAAAAUUAGGAAAGGACACCGAUGUGAAAAUUAUUGACUCUGCUCUGUUGAUAUGUAAUGAUUAACACCAAAACAAUAAAUCUGUCUCUAACUUAAUAUUUUCAUAAAAAUACGUUUCUCACAAAAUGACACAUUUUCCCUCCUUAAUACGGAAAAAAGAAGCUGACUCCACAUCAAUAUGUAUCGACUCCCAAAAUGUUUUCAAGACAAUCAAUAGCAAGCCGACUCGACAGGUGGCGCUGUCACGCCCGGAGCGAAGCAAACAAUAUCGACUAUUAUUGCACGAUGGCAUUCAGAUGAGUGCAAAUGACUCGCAAAAAUGUUUGUCAGUUCAAAUGUUAGCGUUCAAGAGAUGCGGGAAGAUGUGAUUGUACAAUUUUUGAUUUGGGACAGGCGAGGGAACCGCUUUUAAUGUUGCGCAGAAAAAAAAAAAUGCCCCAAAUAAAAUAAAACAGUUCCA
Syngnathoides biaculeatus (alligator pipefish) is the source of this 2464-nucleotide long non-coding RNA. RefSeq lists it as uncharacterized. The transcript has 2 exons. The record is from RefSeq and is a predicted model, not a curated record. Lineage: Eukaryota; Metazoa; Chordata; Actinopteri; Syngnathiformes; Syngnathidae.